ACCCCAAUGUGAUCGUGUGCCCCUCAUUACCGGAAGGCAACAAUGAUGCAGAUGAUGUUAAGUGAGAUUCUUGUGUGGCCGCCAUUCGCAUGCCGAACACGUGGUGGCGGCCAUCUUAAAACGCACGAAUAGCGGUGUUUGGUCGUCGAGUGUCUGGAACUCAAACCGGACACUCGACUAACCAAGCACCGCUAAGACCUCCAGAAAAUGUCGAAUAAAACCUACGAACAGCCCGCCGUUCGAUAGGAUGAAUCCCGCGAACCAGGGGAUUCAUCCGAAUGCGGACUUAAUACUGGAUGGCAUAGACGUUCGGAAUUUUUUAUGUGUGAACAGAGACCGACCGCAAGACCAGAAC
This is a non-coding RNA of Pelobates cultripes (western spadefoot toad), 355 nucleotides long. The record is from the annotation of a GenBank genome assembly. NCBI's taxonomy places the organism in Eukaryota, Metazoa, Chordata, Amphibia, Anura, Pelobatidae.